Molecule: ribosomal RNA, 440 nt
Filed under: uncultured bacterium
Lineage: Bacteria
Description: partial 16S ribosomal RNA
Rfam family: Bacterial small subunit ribosomal RNA
Source: RNAcentral
CCUACGGGCGGCAGCAGUAGGGAAUAUUGCUCAAUGGGGGAAACCCUGAAGCAGCAACGCCGCGUGGAGGAUGAAGGUUUUCGGAUUGUAAACUCCUUUUGUUAGAGAAUAUAAUGACGGUAUCUAACGAAUAAGCACCGGCUAACUCCGUGCCAGCAGCCGCGGUAAUACGGAGGGUGCAAGCGUUACUCGGAAUCACUGGGCGGAAAGAGCGCGUAGGCGGGAUAGCAAGUCAGAUGUGAAAUCCUAUGGCUUAACCAUAGAACUGCAUUUGAAACUGUUAUUCUAGAGUAUGGGAGAGGUAGGUGGAAUUCUUGGUGUAGGGGUAAAAUCCGUAGAGAUCAAGAGGAAUACUCAUUGCGAAGGCGACCUGCUAGAACAUAACUGACGCUGAUGCGCGAAAGCGUGGGGAGCAAACAGGAUUAGAUACCCCAGUAGUC